UUGACCUCGGAUCAGGUAGGGUUACCCGCUGAACUUAGCAUAUCAUAGCGGAGGAAAAGAACCCACAGGGAUGCCUCAGUAACGGCGAGUGAAGCGGCAACAGCUCAAUUUGAAUCUGGCGGCCUCUGGCCGUCCGAGUUGUAAUUUGAGAGGAUGCUUUUGGCGAGGCGCCUUCCGAGUGCCCUGGAACGGGACGCCACAGAGGUGAGAGCCCCGUAUGGUUGGACGCCGAGCCUCUGUAAAGCUCCUUCGACGAGUCGAGUAGUUUGGGAAUGCUGCUCAAAAUGGGAGGUAAACCCCUUCUAAAGCUAAAUACUGGCCAGAGACCGAUAGCGCACAAGUAGAGUGAUCGAAAGAUGAAAAGCACUUUGAAAAGAGAGUUAAAUAGCACGUGAAAUUGUUGAAAGGGAAGCGCUUGCGACCAGACUUGUGCCCGUCGAAUCAGCCGCCGCUCGCCGGCGGCGCACUUCGGCGGGCUCAGGCCAGCAUCAGUUCGCUGCAGGGGGAGAAAGGCGGCGGGAAUGUGGCUCUUCGGAGUGUUAUAGCCCGCCGCGCAAUACCCCUCGGCGGACUGAGGACCGCGCAUCUGCAAGGAUGCUGGCGUAAUGGUCGUCAGCGACCCGUCUUGAAACACGGACCAAGGAGUCGUCCUAAUAUGCGAGUGUUCGGGUGUAAAACCCCUGCGCGUAAUGAAAGUGAACGGAGGUGAGAGCUUCGGCGCAUCAUCGACCGAUCCUGAUGUUCUCGGAUGGAUUUGAGUAAGAGCAUAUUGGGCCGGACCCGAAAGAAGGUGAACUAUGCCUGUAUAGGGUAAAGCCAGAGGAAACUCUGGUGGAGGCUCGCAGCGGUUCUGACGUGCAAAUCGAUCGUCAAAUAUGGGCAUGGGGGCGAAAG
RNAcentral lists this ribosomal RNA (894 nucleotides) under Scedosporium boydii. RNAcentral describes it as "eukaryotic LSU rRNA". It matches the Rfam family "Eukaryotic large subunit ribosomal RNA", at positions 1 to 929 of the family's 3401-position model. Lineage: Eukaryota; Fungi; Ascomycota; Sordariomycetes; Microascales; Microascaceae. The record is from RNAcentral.